GAAAAGUUAAAUUUACUAAACAAAGCGGCAAAACUGUGUGCGUGUGUGGGUGGCUGUGCCUCUGUGUGUAUGUGCGUGAGUCUCUAGUUUUUUGCAAUUUCCACUUCACACGCUCUUUCGUGUUGGAUUAUUGGAUUAUACCGCCAAUAACGGCACACGCAUAGCAACAACAACCAAAAAAAAAAAACAACAAAAAGCGAUAAAGGAGAGCAGACGACGCUGGGAUUAAUCAUUAAUGUCCUGAGAGAUAAAGAACGGGAGUCUAGAGAAAGAAGAAGCAGCGGCAGACAAACAAGAAGAAGACGGCAAAUGUUUUGUACAUGGAAAUAGGGCUGCCUUAGGACCGAAUGUCUGAAAUGUAAGUGCUCGAACAGAUUUUUCCAACCUUAAGGCGUGUGUGAGGAAAUCAAUUUAAAAUUUAUGCGACUUAGAAUCUAGUCUAUUGGAUGUCAAGGUUUUGUUUGUUUUCUAUUUUAUGUGAAAUUCAUCAGUCAUUUUGGUAAAUUAAUUUAUUAUGCUGGAGGAUAAAGGCUUAGACAUGAAACGACCUAACAAUAUUUAAUUAUAAGGCUUAUGGGCUUGACUUUUUGAGUGGUAUUUCAUGGUUAACUUGAGUAAAUGUUUUUGGUUUAGUUAUUAAAUUAAUUUAAUUUAUUAAUAAUUGACAACGAGAAUUAACUUUAAUUUUUCGUAUUUACUUACAAUAGUUUCCUGAAACUUGUUAGCACCAUUGACAAACCGGAUCCUUAUUCUGUUACUUAAAAGGUUUUUUAUUUUUAAACUGAAAGGUAUUCUAUUGAGAUAAAUAAAUCUUCUAUGUCCCCUACUCAACAGUUUCUUCAGUCUUAAGAUUCUGAAAUGCAAUUAAGUUUCUCGCACUACCAAUCAACAUUCAACACUCUCUCCUCGAGAGUAAUAACUCAAAGAUAUUUUAACCCAUUUACCAUGAAUGGCAGUCGUUGGAGCUCGCAUUUAAUUGACUGAUUGCUGUUGAAAUUGCAUGCAUGUGUCAUCUAAAAAAAAAAAUACUGUGAGAACGAUUAAAAAAAAACGUUUUCAUGUUUGCCGCGCUCUAAAUCACAAACACAUAAACCAAAUUUAAUUAAAAUCCACUCAGUACGGCAUCCGGAUUAUGUGCAUGUGUCCUCUUCUCUAUUAUUUCCAUUGAUUUAUUUUGCACACACUCACUGGGUUUUUAUUUUAACAUUUUCAUUAAGAAAAACUACAACUGAAACUCCACUUGCUGGGUGUUCCCAGUCGAAUAAACAUAAUUCCCAUGAUUUAUGGAUUUGGCACAAUGAAUAAACACUGGCAAAGUGCAGACUUUGUGCAAAAGAGAUCGAGAACACACGAGCAUUUAUUUUGUUGGAGCUCCAAUGUUGAUAUAUUAGCCAACAACAACUAUGUAUACAUGUUUAUUAUUAGCCAAAGGCUGGCCUCUAGAGCAAACUAUAAGAUCAGGGGAACCUGCGACCAGGGACCGGCCUGCAAUCAUAAUAAAUGUUCAUUGAAACCUUUUAAAAAUCGCGCUGCCACAGCCGCCGCGCCUCAAUGAAGCACAGCAACAAUAAAUUUAAGCCACGAAGCCGGGCUCUCUAUACCAGCACAUAAACAUUAAUAAACUUGUUGCAAUCCAAAAGAUAAUUAGCCGUGGCUAGAGCAGCAGCAACACCAGCAAACACCGAACAACAACGAACAACAACGAACAACUUACGGCCACCGCCACACACAUCACAUAAAGCCAAAAGACAAGAGCAGCAACAAUUUGCUAUUUAGUAUAAAGUUUCAUUAAAAACCCACUACGACUGACUGCACGGCCCAUCAUGCAGUUGUGUAUCUUAAAGAUACACAAUGGACACAAAAGAGGGUCCGCUUCGCAUCGUAUCGCAGUGCAGUGCAUCGCAUCGCAUCGCAUCGCAUCGCCUGCCUGCUGUCGAUCAUAAUUUAACAUAAAAAUGAUUUGAUUACUAUAAUUUCUUUUGUGUUUUGGUAUCACCUGGUAAGCUCAUUUACUACAACGGCAACGCCGCCUAUUACUCACACCGGUCCGGUCGGCAGAACCCCGGCUCCGGUCCGGUCCGGUCCGGUCUUGGGUCCUCGGCUUGGAGUUUUCGGUCUCAGUAUCGCACCGCGGACCUCACCGCAUGCAGCGUGUGUCGUUUUGUGUAUGGCCGAGAAGAACCAGAAAAAUUAAAAAAAAAAAACGAAGCCAAAGAUGAGCACAUCUCGGGGAGAAAAGGGAAAAGAGGCCCAAAAUGAAACUGCGGGAAGGCAGCACCCAGAGUUCCAUCAUCACACUGACAAAAAAAAUGGUGUCUGUAUUUAAAACAUAUAACAAAAAAAAAACGAAUUCAAAAAUAUACCCUUCUGCUGAGAAAAAAAAAUACCCUUAAAGCCAUAGCUAAAUUUCUAAAACGUUUUCGUAUACUUAGGUAUCUGAUAGCAUACUUACAUCUAUUUUAAUUAAAAUAGGGAAAUGUUCGAAACCUAUUUUGGAACAUUGCUAUUUAUAUGAUUUAAAGUUUAAUAAUUUUAAAAAGAGUUUAGAGUUUAUUUUGGAAACUAAAGGUUCUCGAUAUCAAAAUAAUCGUUGUUAUAGAAAAACGUGAAAUAGAACAAAUCAGAGAAGCAAAGGAAAAAAGUGUUAGCCAGAAAACUAAUUAGGAUUAAGCAUUUUUCUAAAGAAAAAAAUUAAAUAAUUUGUAGAUCUUUCGUUGCUUUCGCUCAGUGCAAUCACGAAAACUUGCCGGCCAGCGAGAAGUCAAAGUCAAACUGACAAACCCGUUCCGCUGUCUUGCAACAGCCUUCUGCCUGAGUCUCAGUCUCAGUCUCAGUCGCAACCAAAGUCAGAGUCCCAGUGUCAGUUCGAGAUGAAGAAGAAGUCCAAGUCGAAGUCGAAGACGAAGACUUGCAGGCAAUAAUAGCAUCGACUUAAGAGCCACGGAGAAGUAUACUUCAUCGGGUACUGGUACAAAUAUCUUGUUUCAUGUGUGCGCUGGACGUUAAUAGCAGGCCGUACCAUUGUCCAAAAGCCAGUCAAUGUUCCCCCUUUUGCUCCGCUCCUGCCUUUUCUUUAUAUAUAUUUUUCGUUAUUUUUUUUUUUUUUUUGGUUUCCAUUUACCUGUCCCUAACCUGUGCCACCCGGCCGCCUCCCCAUUGUGUGUUGUGUGUACCGCUUGCAUCUUCGGUGAGCGCCGCUUCUUGGCAGCCUUCGCUGCAUUUCAUCAUUCAUGCACAUUAUUUUAGCCAUGGCCAGGCUUUAGGUUAUAUCUGGUAUUCGAUAAGUUGAGUGUAGAUACGCUUUUAGAUAGAGUUUUUAGAACUAGAUUUUUUUGAUAAAAGUAACUGAGUGCUAAAUGCUAUUUGAAUGCAAUGAGUACUGGAGGAUAUUAAUAUAUUCACUGAAAUGCAUGAAACAUGGUAAUUAAUUAAAGUUAUUUUUCAAAGAUCAGCGCAAAAUAAAUCUUUAGUAUUAAUAUAUACUAAAAUCAAGUAAAUAAAAGUAAAAAGAGGAACAAGAUGUUUUACAAGGAUUCCAAUUUUUCCUAUUUAUUUAAUUUCAAAUUUUGUAUUGCCAACUAAUUUUUUAGUUGUCUUACGAUUUACUAGAACAUCUACUAUUCGUUUUAAAAAAUAAAUUCAGCAUCUUGUUUUUUUUUGUGCACUUUAGCGUUUUGUGUGCUCCUUACAUCGUGUCCUGUCCCGCUUGCGUAUCGCAUUGGCCGAGGCUUAGAAGUGGAGAUUGAGUUACAUUGCUGGGGAUUAUUAUCAACUGUAUUAUCUGGCUUUUCUUCUCCUGUGUUUUGCUUCGUUUUAUUUUUUUUUUAGUCCAAGGCGGCAACUGCUUUUCGGCCAGAAAAAAGUCAAAUAAAAAUUCGUUACGCCGCUGCAGCGUUUACUCAACUGCAGAGUAAGAUUCGUGGGUUUUGGUUUCGGGUUUUUCUGUUUUUAGGGUUUGCGCUUUUUUUUUUUUUAAUGAUACCCUCUCGAGUAUUUUCUGUUCGUCUUCCGUAGUCUGUUUUGUUGAAUUUUGUGUGUGUGUUUGAUGGCCGGUUCAAGUGCCUUUUUGGUGCUGUUGUAAUUUGUGGCUUUUUUUAGGGAGGCGACGGACAUGCAUGUUUCAUAAGUUUUGGGGCAACAAUUGUGUAAAAUUAUGAGCUGUCCGGAUUUGCCAUUUGGCAUGGUUCCAGGGCAUCAGCAGAAGCAGCUAGCCAACAAAUUCGAGUCGGUCUUUUGUUUCAUUUUGUGGCCAUAAAACAAACUGGAGUAGGUGUUGUCGUUAAGUUUUGAUGUGCCACAUUAAACUAGACUCCCCGAGCAGAUUGAGCUUAAGCUGGGCCACCCCAUGGUGCAGUUUAUGUUUGCAGAUGAAUGAAGCUACUAAAAAAGCGAGGAAGCCCACUGUGCCCUAAUGGGAAAUCAGAUUUAGCCUAUUGGCAUAAAACUCUCUAAAUGUAUAUAGAUAUAAACUCUAUUGCCGCCUUGGCAGUCGGUCUUGUUUUUAUUGAUUUUUGUUUUCGCAUAAAAUUGAGACACGACACUUCCACACAGAGAAAACGUUAAAAAACCCCUGGGUAUUCGUUAGCCCAUAGAUCUCGUUGGAAUUGAAAUUGAAUAAAAGUGAAGGCCGUUCGGGAGUUGAACUUUGAGGAAAUUAAAUCACUUCGUGAUGGUAUUUAUUUACGUGGGGGAAGUCUAUGAACGUAACUGUCCAUCUGAUAUGCAAUUUAAAUUAAAGGAAUUUGGUGUACUAAAAGAAAUGCCUUGGCUGAGCCAUAAAACCAAACAAAUUAGAUUAGUUUUUUGCUUAAAAAAAUUGAAAAAACGGUUUAAAAUAACAGACGGCUCUUAAUUAAUUAAAUUAAUUAGCUUAAUCUCCUAUGCUGUCAAGGUUUUAUGAUUUCUUUAACUAGUUGAUUAAACAGGACUUUUACAGUCUAAAAUAUAACUUGAAAUUUAUAAACAAACUAUUGCUAUAGAAUUAUAAUUUCUAACAAAGCACAAAAAUUGAAAAGUAGCUAAAGUUUUUCCUUCUUAGUCUUUGAAAACUUUUUUAUUGCUUUUUUAUACAAUAGGCCACCAUAUCGACCCACAGUCCACCCCUAACUAGGUCACAUUACAGUUGGCAAAUGGCUGCGGUAAAGUUUUAAAUCAUAUUUAAAGAAUACGGCAAUAGAUUCGGGCCCAACUGUUCGUAUGGCAACCGCGAAGACAUAUAACACACGAGGCACUAUGUAGAAAUAACCGCAGGGAAAGCUUUCGGGCACAAAUAUUGCACCACACUAUUGGUGGUGGUGGUGGUGGUGCUGCUGCUGCUGUGGCUCGAGAUGGAAGCCAAAGCGGCAAAUGUUCCAGGAAACUAUAAAAGACAAUAGCGGCAAUAUGCCAGCUCUGGUUUUUGUGGUUUUUUAUGCUCGGACUCUAGGAUGAAGAAGCCUUUCUAGCUCUUGGCGUGGGCCUAAGUCAACAACAAAGAAGCGAAGCCUCAAUGCCCUGGACGGCGCCUUUUGUUAUAUAUAUAUACAUAUAUAUAUAUAUGUAUGUAUAGGAAAACCCUCCAAAGAGCUUGAUGGCUUGGGGUGGAGGAAUGGUGCUUGGUAGCCAAGUUGUGUAUGCUCACGCAUUAAUAUAGUUCCAAGCUAAAGUACACAGGGGAAAAGGGGUACACAGUAAAGAAAUUCUGCAGUAAAAAAUACAUAUUAUAAAAUAUUGUGAGCUUUACAAGAUAAAUUAACUACAAUUUGAUCAUGAUAAAUGAAAAUUUUAUCAUCAGUCUAAAAUGCUAAACAGCACACACAAAUUACUUAAAUUAAAUGUAAAUCUAAAGCAAAAUUUAAUACAAAUCACUUUAACAAUUUUUAUUUUUGAACACAGUAACAUUGUACUAAAAUCUAUUUUGUAUUUUCAAUCGCUCAAACAUGAAUAAACCGUAUUCAACCUGGUUAAAUUUUUAGCUUAUCAUUUUAGAUUGAUCAACCUUUGUUUUUUAAAUUAAAUCAUUAUAAUUCAACAUUUUUAUUUUUAAAUAUUUUUCUACAUUUUAUAAUAUUCAAUUUAUAAUAUAUUCUACAUACGAUAUUUUUCUAUAAUUAAUAUUUUUCUCUCUGCACAUAAAGAUAUAGAUGUGUGUGAAACUAGUUUAUGACAGGGCCGAGUUGGUGUGGGGUGGCAAAUAAUGUUGUUUAUGUGUAGGACCGAACCGUAAAUAUGACGCAUCGUGGAGAAGAAGGGGUAACCUGUAACCUGGGCCAGCUGAAACUUGGCUGCCUGCAAGUGGACUGGUCAAGUGUAAAGUACGCAACUGCUCCUAUUCCUAUUCCUAUUCCCAAUGCCAAUCCCAUUCGUAUUCGCAUUCACAUUGCCAAUGUGCUAGUGCCAUUUCCCAUUGUGGUGUCGUCUGCAGAAUCGCAAGACGACUGCUGGUCAAGUGUUGCAGUUGCUUCCUGCCUUUCGGUCUGACACUAACCUGGCCUCCAGCUUUUGCUAUGCUCUGCUCUGCUCUGCUUCAGCUUCUGGCAUUCAAUGGCCAAUUCUCCACGCAACCAUCCUUGUUCUUGGGCUUGUAUUUAUAUUUUCUUGGCAUUGGCCUCUUCCCAUGACACCGGUUAGCCGCAUCUUCAGCUGCUCUGUGCUUAUUUGGUUACUUUAUGCCAUUACCUGUAUUCCUCCAUAGACUACUACUCCUCUACUUCCUCUCUGUCGCGCUCUGAUAAUAAAGAUGACAAAAUAUCUGGAGAAAAUCAUAAACCUUGUGUGUAUGUUUGGAAAAAUAAUAUCUUGCAGAUAUAAAGUACCAUUUAUGUCGUGCUUAUAUCUUAUUUCGCCAAAGUCGUGCCAUCGCAAGAGUCGCGAAUACCGAGUCGGUUUUCGCAGUCCAAGUCAAGAGACAGGGAGUCCCAGUCGACGAUGGAGUCCAUGCGGCAUUUCGGUUCGGUUGGGUUUGGUUUGCUUGCGACUUUGGAGGACUGCUGCUGCGUUGGGAUAUUGCUCUGUAGGCAGCGAACGAGCAGCACGGUUGCGUGGGCUACAGUGGUCAUAAUGUGGUUAUUAUGCUAUAAAAAUUAUAUUUUAUGUGAUUAUGUUUUGGAUUUAAUAAUAAUAAUAACUUCAUUUUUUAAAAAAAGUCUUCUUUUAGGAACGGUGUUGAUAAAAGUAAUGCAAAUUUUGAUUUUUUUAAAUAGAUACUUUUGUAAUCAGGUCUCGUCAGCGUUUUAGUUAAAAAUCAUAAUUUUUUUUUUUUUCCUGUUUAAAUUCAACAGACUAAAAUCUAUUAAAGAAGUAUGUGUAAUCAAAUUUUCUUUACUGAUAAAAUUACUAAAUUUAUAAGAGAUUAUAUUAAUAAAGUUUUUGUAUUUCAUUUUCGCUUUAUUUUUUUGUUUGAUUUAAAUAUAUUCAUGAGGACAAUUUUCCUGGUCAAUAUUUGUGAAUUUAAUUUUGACUAUUUGCUUUUUCAUGUGUGGUUUUCACCACCGAGCGUGGAAUUGGUUGGAGCUCUGCGGCACUUCUUCACAUGACGGCGACAGGCAAUUGGCCCAUUGCAGCGCCAGCGACGCCAAAGCCAUGGCCACGUUGUCAUCUUGGUCAAGGAGUCGAGAAGGAGGAUGGAAGUUGGGUCUAUUGGCAAUCUUUGUGCCGGGCCAAGUAUCUUCUCUUUUCUCCUUUUCUGUCCAGCUCAGUUCGGUUAUAUUCCGUUCAGUUCUGGUCUGGCCGACUUGUAUAUAUGCUUUCAUUACGAGCUUAGUUCACGUCACAAUCAGUUGUUGGCAUCGUUUAUGCCGCAUUGCCACACUAACACAGACACAACCUACAAGUGUGGUCAGAAUAAUAGGGCUUUGAGUUUAAAACCUUUGUUUUAGCUGUGUAUGAAUUGAUUUUUAAUAUUUAACCGCUUUUUUGGUAAGAUUGAGAUAUCUUUACAGAGGGAUAAAUAAUUAUUUUGAGAGACUGUAUAAAUAUUUUUUAGGAGAAAAAAAAAGGAUACUUACGUUUACAGUUGGCCCUCUAAUAUAUAUAAGAAAACAAAAAAGGGUUACCAUCUUAAAUGGUUGUUCGUUUGAAAUAAGUUUAUAUUUCGAUUUUUUUUUUAAUGCUUUUUAAUUAAAGACAAACACUUAUUUUUAAUACAAAAAUACACUUUGUAUUAUUUUCUAGGGACCCGUUAAUGUUACUAUACGUUACUAUACAAAGUUCAAAAUAAAUAGUAUUUUGUAAGAGGCAUCUCUACUGCUAUUAUUUUGACCUCUUCCGUACUCAUAGUAACUAGUUGGCUGCUGUGGCAACUUCUUCAGCAAAAUGUCUUUCAACUUAUCGCACUCACACACACACAUAUUGUAUACUAUAUGUAUCCUGUGGAAACAUGUGAGGAGGCUCGCUGGCAAUUUGCAUGCAACCCAGGAGAACCCCUCCGCCAGGAGAACCCCUCCGCCCCUGCAUGUAAUUUAUGCGUUUAGAUAACACUUUGCUAAUUUUGAAUGGCAUAAAUUUUUUUUACAUUAGAAGGAGAAGACGGAGUGGCCCAGUCCUUGUGAUCGUGCCUGUAAUUGUGUGUGCGUGUCAGUUACUUAUUUUUUCCAUACUCCUUUUUUUUGCU
Molecule: long non-coding RNA, 8590 nt
Organism: Drosophila elegans
Lineage: Eukaryota; Metazoa; Arthropoda; Insecta; Diptera; Drosophilidae
Exons: 3
Source: RefSeq, a predicted model, not a curated record